CGGACGGCGCGCGACUGGCGAUAGGCGCGGUGCCCUUGCAGGUGCCCUGCGCUGACGUGGAUGACCACUGGGAAGCGCGCCGCCUGCGGCAUGCGGCAGGCGUUCCGCCGUUCGCCUGGGCAGCCCUU
This 128-nucleotide non-coding RNA is filed under the name Variovorax sp. JS1663. RNAcentral's name for it is "ZMP/ZTP riboswitch aptamer (pfl RNA motif)". It matches the Rfam family "ZMP/ZTP riboswitch aptamer (pfl RNA motif)". From Rfam's summary of the family: Previously known as pfl RNA. ZMP is also known as AICAR. Lineage: Bacteria; Pseudomonadati; Pseudomonadota; Betaproteobacteria; Burkholderiales; Comamonadaceae. RNAcentral also lists the same sequence under 1 other name. The record is from Rfam by way of RNAcentral.